RNAcentral lists this transfer RNA (69 nucleotides) under Micropruina sp. Its description in RNAcentral is "tRNA-Val". The record is from RNAcentral. Lineage: Bacteria; Bacillati; Actinomycetota; Actinomycetes; Propionibacteriales; Nocardioidaceae.
GCCGACCUGACGCUGUGGGCGCGCCAACCCGGACGAGGGUGUGUGCGGGUUCGACUCCCGCGGCCGGCG